GUAAAAUCAUUGUUUUGGCUGAGGAAAAAUUUGUUACGAAAAAAAAAUUUGGCGGGAAAUUUUUUUUUGGGCGGGAAAUUUUUUUUUUUGGCGGAAAAAUGUUUGGUGGGAAAUUUUUUUUGGCGGGAAAAAAAAUUUUGGCGCCAAAAAAUUGGCGGGAAAAGUUCAGUCUCCAAUUACAUGUUUCUAUUAGAUGACGGUAAUUUGGUCAUUUUGUUCAAGGGAAGGAGUAUUUUUAAAAAUGGACAACAUAAAAGGGUAUUGUUGCAAAAGAGUAGUAAAACAAGGGUAGUUUUGCAAAUCUCCCCUUUUAUUUCCAUAUACUACUUAUAUUAACUAAACUUACCAAAAUUGAAUAUCAGAAAU
This 366-nucleotide small RNA is filed under the name Arabidopsis thaliana (thale cress). RNAcentral describes it as "ATSL106540". The record is from RNAcentral. Lineage: Eukaryota; Viridiplantae; Streptophyta; Magnoliopsida; Brassicales; Brassicaceae.